RNAcentral lists this ribosomal RNA (253 nucleotides) under uncultured bacterium. Its description in RNAcentral is "partial 16S ribosomal RNA". It matches the Rfam family "Bacterial small subunit ribosomal RNA", at positions 524 to 776 of the family's 1533-position model. The record is from RNAcentral.
UACAGGGGUCUCAAGCGUUGUUCGGAUUCAUUGGGCGUAAAGGGUGCGUAGGCGGCGGGGUAAGUCGGAUGUGAAAUCUCAGGGCUCAACCCUGAAACUGCAUUCGAUACUGCUCUGCUUGAGGACUCGAGAGGAGAUUGGAAUUCACGGUGUAGCAGUGAAAUGCGUAGAUAUCGUGAGGAAGACCAGUGGCGAAGGCGGAUCUCUGGAGAGUUCCUGACGCUGAGGCACGAAGGCCAGGGGAGCAAACGGG